Non-coding RNA from Thamnophis elegans (Western terrestrial garter snake), 573 nucleotides. The record is from the annotation of a RefSeq genome assembly. Lineage: Eukaryota; Metazoa; Chordata; Lepidosauria; Squamata; Natricidae.
AUGAACAGCCUCAAAACCGAAGACACAGGAGUCUAUUACUGCUUGCGAGAGGCACAGCACCUCAUUGGUUUCCCUCUUCAGACAAAAUCCACCAACAUAAACCUUGAGCUGUUUCCUGAAUCCUCUCCUGUCACUUACAUCCAUUCAGUAGAGCAAGCAAAAAUGUGGUUAAACCUUGUGUCCUUACUAGCAGUUCUGGAAGGAGUCCAGUCUCAAGUCCAGUUGGUGGAGUCUGGAGGGGAUGUGAGGAGACCUGGAGAAUCCCUCUGUCUCUCCUGUCAAGCCUCUGGAUUCACCUUCAGCAGCUAUAGCAUGAACUGGGUGAGACAGGCUGAAGGGAAAGGACUAGAGUGGGUGGUGUGGCUACGUCGUGAUGGAGGACAAACCUACUACUCUGACAAAGUCAAGGGCCGCUUCACCAUCUCCAGGGACAAUGCCAAAAGCCAGCUGUAUCUGCAAAUGAGCAGCCUCAAAGCUGAAGACACAGCUGUCUAUUACUGUGGGAGAGACACAGUGAUAGGAAGUGAAUCAGAAACCAAACCUUCCUUUCUUCAGAGCUGCUCUUCAACUUGA